CAGAAGGAAAAGGAAAGACAGAGCUUCAUCAAAGGACAGAGACAUUGCUUUGAAGAGGUUUCCAAGGACCAAACUGGGGAUAUUCUGAGCACAGGAUAAUAAUAAUGCUAGCAGUAGAGUAAAAUGAUCUGUGAGUUAUACUGGUAUAAAUAAAUAAUUUUAAAAUAAAGGAAAGAGACCGGGAGAGUGCAGAGGAGCUGCAGGGACCACAACUUGGACUCCUCCACCCCUGCUUUCCUCAGCUGGAGUCCUGGGAUGCGUUAGGCCCACUGGAGCCCCAGCGCAGCAGCUGCGCAGAGCUGCACAGACCCCACGCUGUCCAACCUGCACCUCCACCGGCCCGGCCCCUCCUCUCCUGGGAACCAGCUCUGCGCUCACCUCAGCAGCUUCAUCUUCCCCGAGCAUCGCGGGCACCUCCGGGACUUGGGACCAGGAAGAACAAGCUGUAUUUCCGGCCAGCCAUCCUUGAGGUCCAUCCUUCGC
RNAcentral lists this long non-coding RNA (483 nucleotides) under Chinchilla lanigera (long-tailed chinchilla). Its description in RNAcentral is "lncRNA (ENSCLAG00000029146.1)". The record is from RNAcentral. Lineage: Eukaryota; Metazoa; Chordata; Mammalia; Rodentia; Chinchillidae.